CAAGAUGGCUUUAAUGGUGACCUGCCACCUCUGACCCUUGACCGCUGGCAUCCCCCAUUUUUCCCCCACUCUGCAGAGCUCCACCUUCUCCAGCCAAGCCCCGGACCCCAAGGUGACCAGCAUGUUCGAACUGAGUGGACCAUUCCGGCAGCAGCACUUCCUAGCUGGGCUCCUGCUGACGGAGCUGGCACUGGCCCUCGAACCUGAGGCUGAAGGGGCAUUCCUGUUGCACAAGAAGGCCAUCAGUGCUG
This 251-nucleotide long non-coding RNA is filed under the name Homo sapiens (human). RNAcentral's name for it is "non-protein coding lnc-KANK2-3:1". Lineage: Eukaryota; Metazoa; Chordata; Mammalia; Primates; Hominidae. The record is from RNAcentral.